GACGAACGCUGGCGGCAUGCCUAACACAUGCAAGUCGAACGAGACCUUCGGGUCUAGUGGCGCACGGGUGCGUAACGCGUGGGAACCUGCCCUUAGGUUCGGAAUAACUCCCCGAAAGGGGUGCUAAUACCGGAUAAUGUCUUCGGACCAAAGAUUUAUCGCCUUUGGAUGGGCCCGCGUUGGAUUAGCUAGUUGGUAGGGUAAAAGCCUACCAAGGCGACGAUCCAUAGCUGGUCUGAGAGGAUGAUCAGCCACACUGGGACUGAGACACGGCCCAGACUCCUACGGGAGGCAGCAGUGGGGAAUAUUGGACAAUGGGCGAAAGCCUGAUCCAGCAAUGCCGCGUGAGUGAUGAAGGCCCUAGGGUUGUAAAGCUCUUUUACCCGGGAUGAUAAUGACAGUACCGGGAGAAUAAGCUCCGGCUAACUCCGUG
RNAcentral lists this ribosomal RNA (433 nucleotides) under uncultured bacterium. RNAcentral describes it as "partial 16S ribosomal RNA". It matches the Rfam family "Bacterial small subunit ribosomal RNA", at positions 28 to 507 of the family's 1533-position model. The record is from RNAcentral.